CCGAUAGUAGCUUAUUUUAAAGUUUUGGGUUCUUACCUCAGGGAUGUAGCGGUGGCUACCUGUUGGA
This 67-nucleotide transfer RNA is filed under the name Lyperosomum longicauda. RNAcentral describes it as "tRNA-Lys". The record is from RNAcentral. Lineage: Eukaryota; Metazoa; Platyhelminthes; Trematoda; Plagiorchiida; Dicrocoeliidae.